UACGUAUGGUGCAAGCGUUAUCCGGAUUUACUGGGUGUAAAGGGAGCGCAGGCGGCACGGCAAGCCUGAUGUGAAAGCCCGCGGCCCAACCGCGGGACUGCAUUGGGAACUACCGGGCUGGAGUGCCGGAGAGGUAGGCGGAAUUCCUAGUGUAGCGGUGAAAUGCGUAGAUAUUAGGAGGAACACCAGUGGCGAAGGCGGCCUGCUGGGCUUUAACUGACGCUGAGGCUCGAAAGCGUGAGUAGCAAACAGG
This 253-nucleotide ribosomal RNA is filed under the name uncultured bacterium. RNAcentral describes it as "partial 16S ribosomal RNA". It matches the Rfam family "Bacterial small subunit ribosomal RNA", at positions 524 to 776 of the family's 1533-position model. The record is from RNAcentral.